Molecule: non-coding RNA, 1575 nt
Organism: Monodelphis domestica (gray short-tailed opossum)
Lineage: Eukaryota; Metazoa; Chordata; Mammalia; Didelphimorphia; Didelphidae
Source: RefSeq, a predicted model, not a curated record
AGUUCUCUUGGUACAGUCUCUAGGGGAGGAAUGUUAGCUUCCCUGUCCUCUGGAGGCUUUUGAUCAGAUUGAGUUCAAUUGGGUUGGGCUGUAUGUGGUAUGAAGCUCUGAGGCUCUGAAGACUCCUGGAAGGCUGGCCCGCCCAGGCUCUCUCCAGUUCUCUCCAGCUGCUUCUCUGCUGUCCGCAAGUGCCUUUGCCCGCCUCCCUAAACUCUGAGGAAUUUGGAUGGGGUUAUGUUUAACUGGAUUGGUCUGGAUGUGCCCGAGGCAAGGGUGAGACUGGAGCCCUAUGGAGGGACCCAGCCAUGGCCCCGUUUCUCCCUGGCUUCCUUCCUGCUAUCCAAACUGGAUGCACCAAGCCCGGCACCCCACUGCUCACAAUGUAGACCCUCCAAACCAGCACCUUUGCCCACUCAGAGGUUCCAGCUGCUGCUGGGGGCUCAGUCCUCUUGAUUGUGGGGGAGGGGUCCUGGGACCUUCGCUCUGCCUUCCCCUUAGCUCUGAGUAUUCUCAAAUUCCGGCUUUUUGGGGGUGUACCUUUUGAUUUGAGUCCAGAAGGAUGGUUCCCCACUUCUGUCCUGUUGUUCAGAUUGAAUUUUGGUGCCCUAGGAGCAUUCAGUCUGUAUUGGUUAAGGAAGGGUCUUCCAUGAGGUCUGAACUUUUGCUGCUUGCUAAGCUGCCAUCUUGACUCCGCCCCAAUUUUCCUCUUGUUUUGAAUAUAUCUUGAAAUUCAUUCCUUUGAAGGAAAAUCUUAAGUGGGAGGUCAUAUAAAAAGAGGAGGAGAGGAAGAAGAUAUUAAAAUUAAGUUAAAAACAAAUAACAUAAGAAAACAACUUUCCACACAGAAGAGAUUCUAUAGGAGAAUAGGUAAGCUUUAAAAAUGGGGAAAACAAGUUUUUUAAUGGUCAUAAUGCAUGCCAAUUAUGAAUGCUCAUAUAAGAGAAGAGACAUGAUUUAUAAAGAGACAGGGACCAUACAAUGGAUAUUAUCUAUAGAGAAUUUUUUUACAGAGAAAGACUACUUAUGCAGUCUUGGGAGAAAAUGAAUUGAAGCACCAACUGACAACUGAUACUCAGAAGAAUGGAAAGAGUAUAUUCAUGGAAGAGAUUUUGAGAGAAAAGAGAAAAAUGGCAAGAAAAAGCAAAGUUGGACAAAAUUCUUCAAGGAUCAAGAUAUUACAUUUGCUUCAUAAACAGAUUGAAUGAUUUAGUAAUCAUGCACAAAGACCAAGCUCCUUAAUCCUAUCAAGCUACUUCCUGAAUUUCAUUUUAGACACAUUGUUCAAGACUUUUCAUAGGUGAAGAUCAAUUCAUUUUAUUUUGUGUGAGAUCUAGUAGUCUUGGCUCCUCUCGCUAAAUAAGACUGCUCCCUUUCUUGAUCCUUCCCUGAAAAGUUCAUUGAUCCUAUUCUCCUCAGGGCAACACUGUUGGGUUUACAUCCACAUCCAAUCAAGAUUUCUGGAUUCUUCUAUUCCCAUGACUUCUGCUCUUGGCCACAACUGUAAGACCUGGUUAUCAGAAAUCUACCUAUAACAGGUGAAAAGUUAAUGAACCAAAGCCAGAGCAUAAGAAAAGG